CGGGAUAUAUAUCCUCGAGAUUUAUACUUGUGCUGCACUAUUGUACUGAUUAUGAGCUCCAGGAUUUUGGGGCUUGUGAGAGACAAGGCUUAAAGGGGCUUGCUCGAGGACAAGGCUUAGAGGGGCUUGCUCGAGGGCAAGGCUUAAAUGGGCUUGUCAAAGACAAGGCUUAAAGGGGCUUGCUCGAGGGCAAGGCUUAAAUGGGCUUGUCAAAGACAAGGCUUAAAGGGGCUUGCUCGAGGACAAGGCUUAGAGGGGCUUGCUCGAGGGCAAGGCUUAAAUUGGCUUGUCAAAGACAAGGCUUAAAGGGGCUGUUAUACCCGAUGUUUGAAUUUAUUAAUUGUUCGGACUGGACUUGGAUUUAUAUUGCAUCCAAGCUGCCUACGUACCCAAACGGGAUCAAGUCGAACGUAGUUCAUUACAAAAGAGAACGGAAAACAUGCAUGGGCACGCAGGCCCGCUAAACUAGAAAUAAAAUGCAGGAAAAGAAAAUCUCCUUAAAGGCGUCGGGAAUUUUACUUGUAAUAUAUUUUCAAAUUGUCGGCAUUCCAGGGCCUCGGAAGAGGUCUACCCGAAGUGUCUCUUAGGCUGUAUGCUCCUUUGCGAACCUGCCGUAUGACCUCAAAGGGUCCUUCCCAGACGGGCCCGAG
RNAcentral lists this long non-coding RNA (650 nucleotides) under Olea europaea subsp. europaea. The record is from RNAcentral. Lineage: Eukaryota; Viridiplantae; Streptophyta; Magnoliopsida; Lamiales; Oleaceae.